AGUGAACGCUGGCGGUAGGCCUAACACAUGCAAGUCGAACGGCAGCACAGUAAGAGCUUGCUCUUACGGGUGGCGAGUGGCGGACGGGUGAGGAAUACAUCGGAAUCUACUUUUUCGUGGGGGAUAACGUAGGGAAACUUAUGCUAAUACCGCAUACGACCUACGGGUGAAAGCAGGGGAUCUUCGGACCUUUCGCGAUUGAAUGAGCCGAUGUCGGAUUAGCUAGUUGGCGGGGUAAAGGCCCACCAAGGCGACGAUCCGUAGCUGGUCUGAGAGGAUGAUCGGCCACACUGGAACUGAGACACGGUCCAGACUCCUACGGGAGGCAGCAGUGGGGAAUAUUGGACAAUGGGCGCAAGCCUGAUCCAGCCAUACCGCGUGGGUGAAGAAGGCCUUCGGGUUGUAAAGCCCUUUUGUUGGGAAAGAAAAGCAGCAGGUUAAUACCCCGCUGUUCUGACGGUACCCAAAGAAUAAGCACCGGCUAACUUCGUG
This 492-nucleotide ribosomal RNA is filed under the name uncultured bacterium. Its description in RNAcentral is "partial 16S ribosomal RNA". It matches the Rfam family "Bacterial small subunit ribosomal RNA", at positions 29 to 507 of the family's 1533-position model. The record is from RNAcentral.